Molecule: ribosomal RNA, 757 nt
Filed under: uncultured bacterium
Lineage: Bacteria
Description: bacterial SSU rRNA
Rfam family: Bacterial small subunit ribosomal RNA
Source: RNAcentral
UGCAAGUCGAGGGGUAACAGGAGUGCUUGCACUUGCUGACGACCGGCGCACGGGUGCGGAACGCGUAUGGAACCUACCUUUGUCAGGGGAAUAGCCCAGAGAAAUUUGGAUUAAUGCCCCAUGGUAUCAUUAUGUUGCAUAACAUUAUGAUUAAAGAUUUAUCGGACAAAGAUGGCCAUGCGUACCAUUAGUUAGUUGGUAAGGUAACGGCUUACCAAGGCAGCGAUGGUUAGGGGCCCUGAGAGGGGGAUCCCCCACACUGGUACUGAGACACGGACCAGACUCCUACGGGAGGCAGCAGUGAGGAAUAUUGGACAAUGGAGGAGACUCUGAUCCAGCCAUGCCGCGUGCAGGAUGACGGCCCUAUGGGUUGUAAACUGCUUUUAUACGGGAAGAAACGCACCUACGUGUAGGUGUCUGACGGUACCGUAAGAAUAAGGACCGGCUAACUCCGUGCCAGCAGCCGCGGUAAUACGGAGGGUCCGAGCGUUAUCCGGAAUCAUUGGGUUUAAAGGGUCCGUAGGCGGGCCUGUAAGUCAGAGGUGAAAGUUUGUGGCUCAACCAUAAAAUUGCCUUUGAUACUGCAGGUCUUGAGUUAUAGUGGAGUUGCCGGAACAUGUGGUGUAGCGGGUGAAAUGCAUAGGUAUCACAUAGAACACCGAUCGCGAAGGCAGGUGACUAACUAUAUACUGACGCUGAUGGACGAAAGCGUGGGGAGCGAACGGGAUUAGAUACCCCGGUAGUCCACGCCGUAAAC